ACGUCUUUAGUUUAAUUGGUUAGAGUAUCAGACUCUAAAUCUGAGAGAUGUGGGUUCGACUCCUACAGGGCGUG
Molecule: transfer RNA, 74 nt
Filed under: Bacteriophage sp.
Description: tRNA-OTHER
Rfam family: tRNA
About the family: Transfer RNA (tRNA) molecules are approximately 80 nucleotides in length.
Source: RNAcentral